UUUCCGUAGGUGAACCUGCGGAAGGAUCAUUAAAUAGUACUACAGAUUACAUAUGCAAAUAUGACAAUCUACUACUAUAUACCAUUCCGAGUACUCUUUUUCCAUGUUGCUUCCGCGAGGUAGACACUUCAAGUGGCCGUAUGCUCCGGAUCUCUCUUCUUGGAGAGCCGGCUGUAGGCGCGAUUUCCUUUCGAAAGGUCAAUUACAAGUCCAAUUAUGUUUUUAUUUUGUGUCUGAAUAGUUUUUUUUUUUCUUUCUUUUUUUAAUUAAUAAAUACAAAAAAAAUAAACUAACAUAUAAAACUUUCAACAACGGAUCUCUUGGUUCUC
This 329-nucleotide unclassified non-coding RNA is filed under the name plant metagenome. RNAcentral describes it as "partial contains small subunit ribosomal RNA, internal transcribed spacer 1, and 5.8S ribosomal RNA". The record is from RNAcentral.